RNAcentral lists this ribosomal RNA (324 nucleotides) under uncultured Pelobacter sp. RNAcentral's name for it is "bacterial SSU rRNA". It matches the Rfam family "Bacterial small subunit ribosomal RNA", at positions 1059 to 1382 of the family's 1533-position model. The record is from RNAcentral. Lineage: Bacteria; Pseudomonadati; Thermodesulfobacteriota; Desulfuromonadia; Desulfuromonadales; Desulfuromonadaceae.
CUCGUGUCGUGAGAUGUUGGUUAAGUACCCGCAACGAGCGCAACCCUUGUCCUUAGUUGCCAGUCAUUAAGUUGGGCACUCUAAGGAGACUGCCGGUGUUAAACUGGAGGAAGGUGGGGAUGACGUCAAGUCCUCAUGGCCCUUAUGUCCAGGGCUACACACGUGCUACAAUGGCCGGUACAAAGGGCUGCGAUACCGCGAGGUGGAGCGAAUCCCAGAAAGCCGGUCUCAGUUCGGAUUGGGGUCUGCAACUCGACCCCAUGAAGUCGGAGUCGCUAGUAAUCGCAGAUCAGCAACGCUGCGGUGAAUACGUUCCCGGGCCUU